Molecule: non-coding RNA, 878 nt
Organism: Archocentrus centrarchus (flier cichlid)
Lineage: Eukaryota; Metazoa; Chordata; Actinopteri; Cichliformes; Cichlidae
Source: the annotation of a RefSeq genome assembly
CCACUCACACAGCAGCAGCAGCAGCACAAUGAUGAUGUCACUGACUCUCCUGCUGGCCACCCUGGGGCUCCUUGUUCAGGGUUCAUCAGGAGAAAUCAUCCUGACUCAGACUCCUGAAGCUCAGUCUGUUGUUCCAGGACAGACUGUCUCUAUCAGGUGUAAAGCCAGUUCAAGUAUGGGUAGCUACCUCCACUGGUAUCUUCAGAAACCUGCAGAAGCUCCUAAACUGCUUGUUUAUUAUGCUACAACUCGUCAGUCUGGAGUUUCUGAUCGUUUCAGUGGGAGUGGAUCUGGAACUGACUUCACUUUGACCAUCAGUGGAGUUCAGGCUGAAGAUGCAGGAGUUUAUUACUGUGGACAAAGUGGUUACAGCUAUCCGUUCACACAGUGAAAAACCGUCGUACAAAAACCUCUUUCAGCUGGAGAGGAACUGAAACGCUGAGAGGAAUCAUUAAUUCAGGUUUUAUCCUUAAAUUUAUUUUGAGUACGCUGCUCUUCAGUGUUUCACUUCCCUCUUUGAGUUCAGAAACCAUGGUAACAGACAGGUGUCACUGCUGAACCAUGGCAACAGAUGAAUUUCAGUACUAAAGAUACAAUUUUAAAUAUUUUGUUCUUCAAAUUUAAUCAACAAACCACUAAUUCUUAGUUUUAGAGAUAAAAAUAUAUUUUUAAUGAUGGAAACUAUCUUGGAAAUUCAAACUUCCUGAACAAAAACAUUAAAAAUGAGAAAUAAAAACUGAAUUAGUAACUGAAUUCAAAUGAACACCAGUACUGAUUUGACUUUGACCCUGCAUGCCAUAACAAUGAACUCAAUUAUACAUUACAAGCAUAUUUAAUGAAAAAAAUGAACUGAAAAAAAAAAGUAAAAUAAAUUCAUA